UCCCUGGUGGCUCAGAAGGUAAAGCAUCUGCCUACAAUGCAGGAGACCCGGGUUUGAUCCCUGGGUUGGGAA
This 72-nucleotide transfer RNA is filed under the name Capra hircus (goat). It matches the Rfam family "tRNA". Rfam says of the family: Transfer RNA (tRNA) molecules are approximately 80 nucleotides in length. Their secondary structure includes four short double-helical elements and three loops (D, anti-codon, and T loops). The record is from Rfam by way of RNAcentral. RNAcentral also lists the same sequence under 1 other name. Lineage: Eukaryota; Metazoa; Chordata; Mammalia; Artiodactyla; Bovidae.